Molecule: ribosomal RNA, 274 nt
Filed under: uncultured bacterium
Lineage: Bacteria
Description: partial 16S ribosomal RNA
Rfam family: Bacterial small subunit ribosomal RNA
Source: RNAcentral
CUUCUCCGCGGCGACCGGCGCACGGGUGAGUAACACGUAUGCAACCUGCCCCUGUCAGGGGGACAACCCGCCGAAAGGCGGGCUAAACCCGCGUACAUGCCACCGGGGCAUCCCGGAGGCAGGAAAGGCUUCGGCCGGACAGGGAUGGGCAUGCGGCGCAUUAGGCAGUAGGCGGGGUAACGGCCCACCUAACCGACGAUGCGUAGGGGUUCUGAGAGGAAGGUCCCCCACACUGGUACUGAGACACGGACCAGACUCCUACGGAAGGCAGCAG